UGGUGGAGCAUCGCUAUCCUGCCAGGGUUCGGUGGAGCAUUGCGUGAAGCGUCUGCGUGUCUGCGAGAUCUUGCUGUGGGCCAGGUAUCCAUUCUCCUGCGGCAGCUUAGACCCUACGGAGACUAGAGGUCCGUGGGUGGUGGAGGAUCCUUUGCGUAGCAAAAAAAGAAGGCGAGUGCCCCUGCAUCCUCUCCAGACGGUACCCAGAACAUCCACCAUUAUUAGAACCAUCACCCUGCAGCUAGCUUGGACAUCCUUAAAAGGGCUCAUCAGAAGUAUCUGAUAUUCAUGAAGACAGAGUUUCAGGGUUUCUGCCUGGAGCUACACCCUCCAGGAGCCCCUGCUUGGCUUCCCCUGCACCCAGCCCCAUCCCAACCUGUUACAACUUGGGCUGUGCAUGGUGUUUCUUGGAAACUGGAACACAGACUCCUCCGACUGCUCUCCAGGCCCUUUGUCCUCAAUGAGCAGAAGACCACAGAAGCUGGCUACUGAAGAGGCUGUCCAGAUAGCAGAGCACCUCACUGGCCUUGCUUAGCACCUUUGCUACAGAGCAAGCUCUGAGUGCUCACCACCUGCAGGGACUACAGCGAGAUUUGUCAGGCCCCCACUUCACUAAGGGCCACUCUCUAGUGAGCCCUCUGGAGAAGGCUCCACUAAAAAAAACGUGGUCAUCAUAGCGUUUGCACUGCCUCGAGUCCUAUCUGAGCACCUGUAGGGCUGCAGACAUCAGUAGCCCGUUACCUAGCUCUAAUCCAUAUCCUAAGUAGAAAACUGUGUACUAUUUUUUUUCUCUCCUUCUGGUGAGAAGAGUUUUAAUUAUUGAUUCAGUCCCAUCAGUAGUUGUAGUACUAUUAAGAAUUUAUUUUUCCUCUUGAGUACAUUUUGGAUAUAGUUUCUUAGGUAUUGGACCAUUUUGUCUGUGUUUUCAAAUUCACUGACAUCAAGUUCCUGUUUUGAAAGUCUCUGCUCUAUCUAUUCUGUAGCUAUGUCUCCUUUUUCACUGCUAAUACUGGUUAUUUGUGCCUUCUCCCUUUUCUUCUUGAUCAAUCUCAGCAGAGGUUUGUCUAUUUUAUUAGUCUUUACAAAGAACCAACUUCUGGCUCUGCUGCUCCUCUCGAUUGUGUCUUUGUUCUCUAUUUCUUUAAUUUCAGCUCUGAUCUUUUUUGACCUCCUUCCUUCCACAUUCUUUGGAUUCAUUCUGUUGCUCUUCUUCUGAUUUCUUCAAUUGUAUGUGGAGCUCAUUCAUUUUCAGUCUUGCCUUUUUGUUUUCCUUGUUUUGUUUUCCUGUUUGUUUCCUAUAGCUCAGACUCACCUCAAGCUCACAAUGAUCUUUUCCCUUACCCUCCCAAGUACAGUGAUUACAGAUGUGAGGCGCUGAACCUAGCUUUCAGCCUCUCGUUUUCUAAUUUAUAUAUUUGAAAGCUAUAAAUUUCCCACUAAUACUACUCUCAAACAUGACCAUAUACGGUAAUAAUUUCAUUGUUCAGUUCCAAGUGCUUCAGUAUAUCUAUUAUUAUUGCUUCUUUGACUCAUGAAUUAUACAGAGGUAUGUUUUUAAGUUCCCAAAUGUUUGGGGGAUUUUAAGUUUGUUCUUUUAUUGAAUUCUAUCCUAUUAUGUUCAGAUGAUGUGGUCUAUGUAGUAACUCUGAAGUUUAUUGAGACUUGUUCUAUUGCUUGGUACACAAUUGAUAAUUAUUAAUGUUUCCUAUGUGCUCUAUAAGAAUGUAUGUCCUCUGAUUAUUGAAUAUAGAAAUCUAUGUGUGUCUAUUAGCAACUAUCUUAUUCAAAUUAUAUUUAUCUAAACUGAUUGCUUUUGUUAUGAUCUACCAAGAGUUUUUAUAGUUAACUCUGACAGUGGGGUUCUCUGUUUUCUUCUUAUAGUUUCCUUUUUUAACAUAAAUUAAGAAUUGUUAUAUUUCUUGUAAAAGUGUAAUAUCCUUCUCUAUUCCUGAUGAUAGAGGAAUUAUGCCAGGUUAUCUUGUAUUAAUGUAACAGCACAAGCUUUUCUUCUUGUUAGGGUUUGGUGGUAUAUAAUUUUCUAUCUUUUUACUUUUAAGAAUUUUUUACACCUUUGUGUUUUAAUUAUAUUUCUUGAAAACAGCAUAUGGCUGGACUUUUUUAAAAAAAAACAAACAAACAAACUAAUCUUGGGCUGGGCGUGGUGGUGCACGCUUAUAAUCCUAGCACUUGGGAGGCCGAGGCAGGUGGAUCUCUGCAUUUGAGGCCAGCCCAGUCAACAUAGUGAGUUCCAGGCCAGCCAAAGCUAUACAGUGAGACCCUGUCUCAGAAAAAAAAAAAAAAAGUUUAUCUAAUGACCUCUGCCUUUAAAACUUAGCAAGUUUUGUUUACAUUCCCUUCAGGGUGUUUGCAAUUGUUUCUACUAUUACUUUCUUAUUUUGACUUUCUGCUACUUUUUUCUAUGCUUCCUUUUCUCCUUUUUCACCUGCUUUUUUGUUUUUGUUUUGUUUUUUAGUUUUAAGGUUUUUUUUUUCUAUUUUCUACUCUUUGGUUAUCCUUGACAUUCUACCAUGAACUUACAAAGUUCAAACAAUAUUUUCAGUGUUCUUGAAGAGCGCAGGAUGGUGAGAAACCUGAUUUUAGUCAUUCCUCUGCUCAGCACUUGAUUUUGUUUUCAAGUAUAUGAAUUUAUUCCUUGUUUUUUGCUUGUUUGUUUGUGAUCUCAGAGUUAUAUAUGAUCGGUAUUGUUUAUUAUAGACAGGCAGUAUUUGUUCGGCUGCACAUGCAUACAUUCUUGCAUCUCAGACUCCCCCCCCCCCUUAUGGCAUUAUUCUCUUUCCUUAUGAAUAUAGUGUUUGUCUACUGUUUUAGUUCAGCUCUCCAGUAUUAAAUUCCCCAAAUCUUUGCUGUGAGUUAAAGGCUUUAUCUUCAUCCUUAGGAGAGUUUGCUCAACCUUUAAAAUACGUGUAUAUGCCUUGUUGCCUUUAAAAAGUACAUCACCAGUCUAAUUGUGGUUUGCUUUCAUUAGGUUAGUGAGUGGGGUGCACAAGGAAUACUGCGCUUUCAUUCUAACGUGUUUAGACUUGUUACUUUUUUAUUUAUUCUGCUUUUGAAAUGUGUUUCAUGACUUAGUAGAUGCACUUUUUUAUAAUUUCUGGAAAGUUCUCAACUAUUAAAGUCUUUCUGGUUUAUUUUUUUCCUCAAAAUCCAACUGCCCAUAUUUUGUGCCUCCUAAUUAAUUCUGUUUUUCAUAACUCCUAACAACUCUUUGAUAUUUUCUGUCUCCUUGUACUUCAUUUGGGGACAUUUCAUCAGGUAUAGGUUUUAGUUUAUUCUCUUCUCCAGCUAUGUUUAAUUUGCCUUCUACUUUUUCCAUUGAGUUUAUUUUGUGUUUUUCUUUGUAAAAGGUUCGUUUACUUUCUAGUCUUUCUGAUCCCUAAUUAAGUCAUUUGUUGCUUGCUCAAAUUGUGAUUACAUCUACUACUUCUUUAAGUAUAAUUUUUGUUAAAUCAGAAUUCACUUUUUUGUGUAUGGCAUUGUAAAUAUUGUUCACAUCUGAACUACACAGCACACUGACUAUAUCAUCUCUACUGCUUUUUGUUUUCCUAAAAUUCAGUGUUCUAGGAGGUUUUUUUUUUUCUUUUCCUAGUGUUGUAGCACUUGCUACUAAUUCUCAGUAAUUCUAUAAGAGUUAAAAAUUCUUCUUAGAAAUUAUUUGUGGAAUCCAAAUCAGAUCAUACCCCUAGCCUGCUCAAAAUUCUCCCAUGACCCCCAAUUCCUUCAGUACACUAGCCAGAAUCUUCUCCAUGGACUAGAUGUUCCUACACAGGCUAGAUCCUGUACCUCCUUCAUCUUGUUGCUAUCACCCUCACUCUUCUCUAGCUAUCCUGGCCUUUUUUUCCUAUUCCUCAAGCAUGCUAGGGACCUUCCACCUGCAGGACUUCUGUAUUUCCUGUUUUUCCUACCUGAGACAUCCUUCUUCCUAAAUACUUUGAUGACUUAACUAAGUCUUUCUAUUAUGUUUUUCCUAGAGAAGUAUUUCCUAACUAACAUAUAUAAAACAGCCCUGUCCAUCUCCAUGUUGUGUCAUAUCCUAUUUUAUGUUAUGUCUUCUACAAAGCACUGAUCACUAUUUGAUAAAUCUUUAUUUAUUGUGGUUAGUGUUUGUUUCUACCAAAUAAGCUGUAAGCUCCUCAAAGCAGAGAUUUCUGUGUUGUUUACUGCUGUAACUCCAGUGUCAAGAGCAGUGUGUAAUAAUAUUCAGUGAAAACUCAAUAAAAUAUUUGUGGAAUAAAGUGAA
This 4258-nucleotide long non-coding RNA is filed under the name Mus musculus (house mouse). RNAcentral describes it as "Kdm5c adjacent non-coding transcript (Kantr)". The record is from RNAcentral. Lineage: Eukaryota; Metazoa; Chordata; Mammalia; Rodentia; Muridae.